RNAcentral lists this unclassified non-coding RNA (238 nucleotides) under Hevea brasiliensis (rubber tree). The record is from RNAcentral. Lineage: Eukaryota; Viridiplantae; Streptophyta; Magnoliopsida; Malpighiales; Euphorbiaceae.
GUUCCCACUACCCCACCAACCCCACUGCUAAAACUCCCAUUUGCUCCUGCUUCUGCUCCUCCUGCCACCACUGGUACCACCGCCAACGGUUGUUCUGGUGGUGGUGAAUCAUACUCCGAGUUAACCCCUAGUGACCCAGAUUCUGUACUCUCUUUAUCUUCCAUUUCCAUCAUUGAUUUCUGAUUUUCAGUAAAAAAAAUUGAGUUUUUGGAGUUUGUAAAGUUUGAGCUUCCCUCCA